GACGAACGCUGGCGGCGUGCCUAAUACAUGCAAGUAGAACGCUGAAGGAGGAGCUUGCUUCUCCGGAUGAGUUGCGAACGGGUGAGUAACGCGUAGGUAACCUGCCUGGUAGCGGGGGAUAACUAUUGGAAACGAUAGCUAAUACCGCAUAACAGUAGAUGUUGCAUGACAUUUGCUUAAAAGGUGCAAUUGCAUCACUACCAGAUGGACCUGCGUUGUAUUAGCUAGUUGGUGAGGUAACGGCUCACCAAGGCGACGAUACAUAGCCGACCUGAGAGGGGGAUCGGCCACCCUGGGACUGAGACACGGCCCAGACUCCUACGGGAGGCAGCAGUAGGGAAUCUUCGGCAAUGGACGGAAGUCUGACCGAGCAACGCCGCGUGAGUGAAGAAGGGUGUCGGAUCGUAAAGCUCUGUUGUAAGAGAAGAACGAGUGUGAGAGUGGAAAGUUCACACUGUGACGGUAUCUUACCAGAAAGGGACGGCUAACUACGUG
Molecule: ribosomal RNA, 495 nt
Filed under: uncultured bacterium
Lineage: Bacteria
Description: partial 16S ribosomal RNA
Rfam family: Bacterial small subunit ribosomal RNA
Source: RNAcentral